AGCUGGAGCGUCUCGCGCUCCGAGAUUGAGGUUAUGAACGCCUCGGCAGCGGACUGAACUGCGGAGCGAGCGGGGCUGCGCGAAGCGCAAGCGACGUGAAGGUUGGCGCGGAUCGCUCGAGUGCAGAGUGAAGUCCGCAGGUGAGAACCUCACGGGGUGAAAACGAAUGUUGCGAACGUGGCCGUUGAUGGAACGGAAAAUACCGCUAACAGGACCGACUGUCACUCACUCCCGCUCGAUAGGAAUACAAACACGGUGCUCUAAAAAUAACGACGCGUGUCGAACGGAGAGGGAACGAAUGUGAAAGAAAGAGAGAGAGAGGGCGCGUUUACCUCCUGAUGGUUCCCCUUUUGUGGCACGUAUUAGGAAGGCGAUGUGUUCGAAGGAAAUCGACGAACAAACAGCCGGGGCGACCACGGCCCUUUUAAGGCUGUCCCCCUCCCCCAGUCACAAUUUCAUGAUUUCCCGUGAGUGACGUAUUGGAAGGAGAGGCUUUAUCGCCGCGCAGACAGAAAGGCAGGCGAGCGGUGGCGGGCGGUGCAUCCAGUAAUGUAUGAAGAUAGCUGCCGAUCACAGACAGUAGAGCAACGACGCGGGAAAAAAACGGGAAUCCUCUGCGAGAUAAAAAUUUCGUCCCGAGAGAGAAACGACCUGAGUACACAUCGGAAAGAGCACACGGAAAUUUAAUCCGUUCAGUAAAAGCCCUCUGCGACGAAAGAUCAACGGCGGGACGAUGAGAGACGUCGGGACGCCGGGCGUCGUCGUUGCGACGCGACGCGGCGACGCGUUCUCCACACUCAAGAUGGUCCAGCUCACUCACGAACGGUUCACGUAAUCCUCUCAUCCCCGGCUAUUUCGAACUGGGCAAUAAUCAGCAGUGGCCGCGUUGGUUCCUUUUACGAUGCCGAGAUCUCAACAACAUGACGUCAAACAAUCAAAGAAAAAAAGGAAAGAACGAUAAAAAAAGAAACAUAACAGAAGUGUGAUCGGACAUAAAGGCGAUGCCGGUUCUUGUUCGAGAUCGAAUUUGUGCAUCUCCUCGAGCGACCGGAUGACGUGAUCUAAGGGACAGCUUCUUGCAUCGAUCUCAACGAAAAUUGCAAAUAAAGUUCGAAAAUUAGGCCAAAGGGCGAGAUCGGCCGUUAGCAGAGUAAAUUUAAUCAAUCUCACGCGGAUCUUCGCACGUCACGACGUCGUUUGCCAGGCUCGUUUCGGAUAAUGAUCAAGCACAGUCAUGUCCUUACGUUUCCCCGUUCAUCCUACAAAACGUAUUCAGGAAGAAACAAUUUCAUUGGAUCUGCUCUUUCUUUUUUUCUCCGUUUCUCUCUUCUCUCGGAACGGUGAUUGCUCCCGUAAUGAUACAAGCUCUUCGUGGAAAUAGGAGAAUUUUAUCAUAGCGAUAAGGAAAAAAGAAGAAAGCGUAAAGGCGGGAAAGACUGUACGUAAGACAAAGAAAGAAUCGAGAUAAAAUUGCAUUAUCCCUCCUAUUCUUCUUCCUCUCGUUCUCUCUUCUACACGUCACGAUCACUCAAGAGAUAUUUCGGCUAUGUCUGCUGACGUCAGAU
Long non-coding RNA from Acromyrmex echinatior (Panamanian leafcutter ant), 1565 nucleotides. RefSeq lists it as uncharacterized. The record is from RefSeq and is a predicted model, not a curated record. NCBI's taxonomy places the organism in Eukaryota, Metazoa, Arthropoda, Insecta, Hymenoptera, Formicidae.